UACGUAGGGGGCGAGCGUUACCCGGAUUUACUGGGCGUAAAGCGCGUGUAGGCGGCUGGUCAAGCGUGGCGUGAAAUCUCCGGGCUCAACCCGGAAACUGCAUUGCGAACUGACCUAGCUGGAGUGCAGGAGAGGGCAGCGGAAUUCCCGGUGUAGCGGUGAAAUGCGUAGAGAUGUGGAGGAACACCAGUGGCGAAGGCGACUCUUUGGCCUGUAACUGACACUGAGGCGCGAAAGCGUGGGGAGCAAACAGG
RNAcentral lists this ribosomal RNA (254 nucleotides) under uncultured bacterium. Its description in RNAcentral is "partial 16S ribosomal RNA". It matches the Rfam family "Bacterial small subunit ribosomal RNA", at positions 524 to 776 of the family's 1533-position model. The record is from RNAcentral.